CGCCUGCCGCGCCCCGCGCCCGUCCCGCCGCCCCCGCCCGCCCUACGGGGCGCAGCAGGCGCGAAAACUUUACAAUGCGGGAAAUCGUGAUAAGGGAACCCCGAGUGCCAGCAAAUUCGGGCUGUCCACCAGUGUAAAAAACUGGUGAAGAAAGGGCCGGGCAAGACCGGUGCCAGCCGCCGCGGUAAUACCGGCGGCUCGAGUGGUGGCCACUAUUACUGGGCUUAAAGGGUCCGUAGCUGGAUUGGCAGUCCCUG
Molecule: ribosomal RNA, 257 nt
Filed under: uncultured archaeon
Lineage: Archaea
Description: partial 16S ribosomal RNA
Rfam family: Archaeal small subunit ribosomal RNA
Source: RNAcentral